CACGCACUCUCCCAUGCACCCCUCCGUGCACACUCUCCAUGCUUAUAUGCAUCUGUGGACAUGUGUGCAUAUUCUCUUGUCAGUACACACAUGCAUGCAUAGAGAUGAGCAGCAUGCACUCACAUACUGCAUUGUGCAUGCCUGCACACACACAUGCUCUCAUAGAUAACAGCUGGGCAUGCACACCCUCCAUGCUUAUAUAUGUGCAUGCAUUCAUUGAGACAUGCACAUAUUCACAUGUGAACAUAUACAUGAAUACAG
This 261-nucleotide long non-coding RNA is filed under the name Homo sapiens (human). RNAcentral describes it as "HSALNT0256463". Lineage: Eukaryota; Metazoa; Chordata; Mammalia; Primates; Hominidae. The record is from RNAcentral.